RNAcentral lists this transfer RNA (72 nucleotides) under Ipomoea nil (Japanese morning glory). It matches the Rfam family "tRNA". From Rfam's summary of the family: Transfer RNA (tRNA) molecules are approximately 80 nucleotides in length. Their secondary structure includes four short double-helical elements and three loops (D, anti-codon, and T loops). The record is from Rfam by way of RNAcentral. Lineage: Eukaryota; Viridiplantae; Streptophyta; Magnoliopsida; Solanales; Convolvulaceae.
GCACCAGUGGUCUAGAGGUAGAAUAGUACCCUGCCACGGUACAGACCCUGGGUUCGAUUCCCGGCUGGUGCA